UCCCCCCGUCCCUGCUCUCUUGCUCUUCUCAUACCUCUGGGCAAUGUUAUCCUUCUACUCUCUCCUCUUUUUUUUGGUCUUUUCCUAUCAUCCUAUCCUUUCCCUCUUCCUCUAUCUCUCCGUUUCUUGCGCCAACCUCCUUCUAGCACCCAGUCUAUCUAUCUCCUUUAUAGCAGGUGCCCACUUCUUUUAUGCCAACUACAGCUGCGCGGUGGCGUGGCCAUGGGGGAAAACCCAGGGUGGGUGAUGAGUGCAUGUGGGGGGGGGGCAAGCUUGGUGUCCCUACCGGCAAAGAAACACCCACCCGCCCACCUCAAUCCGUACAGAGGCACGCACGCACGCACAUACACACACACAAAAACUGGAGUCCUUCGCUUCUCCUCUCGCCACCCUACAAUCCGCUGUUGAAAGUGGCACGGUGCCAGCCCAUAAAGAACCAUCUGUGCCCCCCCCGUCGGUAGCUCGGGCCCCUCCCCCUCUCUAUAGCACUAAUUGGCAGCUGAAUUAAUUAAAUCGUGGAUGCUAAUUAACAUUCUGUCUGUGCAAUGCUAAGGCGAGGGGGGGAAAGAGAGGCAAAGCAUAGAGGGUCUCCACUGGGCAUUGAGAGAAAGAGAGAAAAAGUGGGCACAGGAAGCGUCUGUGUUUGGAUGGCGGGUGGCAGGCGGGCAGAUCUGGUUUUAUCCCCAGCCCUGACAGGGGAGCAAAAUCUUUGGGCUUCAAAGUCGCAGGAACACAACAUUUCACAAGGAUGCCCAGUCCUAAGCCAGAGACAACAAGAACAAACUGCCUCCAUUAUUGCUCACCACGGAGUGGCAUGCUCGUUAGGAAGAAAACAUCUCCUUGAAGGCCAUCGUUGCCAUCACCGGUUCUGGAGAGCCAUAAGUUUUCGGCCCCUAACUUAAGAGCCACACUAAUUUUUGGGAAAUCCUGUUUCAAAAACCCACUUUGUUAAGUUGCACUAUGCACACACACACGUGUGUGUGUGUGUCUGUCUGUCUGUCUUAGAACUACCUUACAGGGUCAUUGUGAGAGAUGAAAAGAGAGGGAAGGGCAGAUAACUCUGCCAGCAGGGCAGGAUUUUAAAGAACAGCGUAGCUCAAUGGUUUAGGUACCCAGUAGUGUUGCCAGAGGUGAGAGUUCAAUUCCCCUCCGGUGCCUCCUUGACGGGGCUGGACUUGAUGAUUUGUAGGGUCCCUUCCAGCUCUGCAGUUAUCGGAUGAUGAUCUUAUAGCGCCAUCCGACACCUCCCUUCCAAAAGCCUGCCGCGUCGAGUUGAAAAGGAAUUGCUACCAAGUGAAAUGUGCAGUAUCGUUCUCUUUAAAGAAAUAAAAACACAUCUGUGCAAAAAAUCA
Molecule: long non-coding RNA, 1352 nt
Filed under: Pogona vitticeps (central bearded dragon)
Lineage: Eukaryota; Metazoa; Chordata; Lepidosauria; Squamata; Agamidae
Description: lncRNA (ENSPVIG00000015845.1)
Source: RNAcentral